GGUGGUAUAGCUCAGUUGGUAGAGUGCUUGUCUUGCAUGCACAAGGCCCUGGGUUCAAACCCCAGCACCACCA
This 73-nucleotide transfer RNA is filed under the name Ictidomys tridecemlineatus (thirteen-lined ground squirrel). RNAcentral describes it as "Spermophilus tridecemlineatus (thirteen-lined ground squirrel) tRNA". It matches the Rfam family "tRNA". Rfam says of the family: Transfer RNA (tRNA) molecules are approximately 80 nucleotides in length. Their secondary structure includes four short double-helical elements and three loops (D, anti-codon, and T loops). The record is from Rfam by way of RNAcentral. Lineage: Eukaryota; Metazoa; Chordata; Mammalia; Rodentia; Sciuridae.